CUCGACUCCAUGAAGUCGGAAUCGCUAGUAAUCGCAAAUCAGAAUGUUGCGGUGAAUACGUUCCCGGGCCUUGUACACACCGCCCGUCACACCAUGGGAGUGGAUUGCACCAGAAGUGGUUAGUCUAACCUUCGGGAGGACGAUCACCACGGUGUGGUUCAUGACUGGGGUGAAGUCGAAACAAGGUAGCCGUAGGGGAACCUGCGGCUGGAUCAC
This 216-nucleotide ribosomal RNA is filed under the name Pseudopedinella elastica. Its description in RNAcentral is "partial Bacterial small subunit ribosomal RNA". It matches the Rfam family "Bacterial small subunit ribosomal RNA", at positions 1311 to 1526 of the family's 1533-position model. The record is from RNAcentral. Lineage: Eukaryota; Dictyochophyceae; Pedinellales.